UGUAAUUUGUAGAAUUUGUCUUUGAUUUGGUCCUUGUCUAUGUUCCUUGGAACAGGACGUCAUAGAGGGUGAGAAUCCCGUUUGGCGAGGAUACCAUUUCUUUGUAAGACUUUUUCGAAGAGUCGAGUUGUUUGGGAAUGCAGCUCAAAGUGGGUGGUAAAUUCCAUCUAAAGCUAAAUAUUGGCGAGAGACCGAUAGCGAACAAGUACAGUGAUGGAAAGAUGAAAAGAACUUUGAAAAGAGAGUGAAAAAGUACGUGAAAUUGUUGAAAGGGAAGGGCAUUUGAUCAGACAUGGUGUUUUUUGCAUGCACUCGCCUCUCGUGGGCUUGGGCCUCUCAAAAAUUUCACUGGGCCAACAUCAGUUUUGGCGGUAGGAUAAAUCAUUAGGAACGUAGCUUCUUCGGGAGUGUUAUAGCCUAGUGGAAUACUAUCAGCCGGGACUGAGGAUUGCGCUUUAUGCAAGGAUGUUGGCAUAAUGGUUAAAUGCCGCCCGUCUUG
This 499-nucleotide ribosomal RNA is filed under the name Hanseniaspora valbyensis. Its description in RNAcentral is "partial large subunit ribosomal RNA". It matches the Rfam family "Eukaryotic large subunit ribosomal RNA", at positions 144 to 656 of the family's 3401-position model. Lineage: Eukaryota; Fungi; Ascomycota; Saccharomycetes; Saccharomycodales; Saccharomycodaceae. The record is from RNAcentral.